UACGUAGGGUGCAAGCGUUAUCCGGAUUUACUGGGCGUAAAGGGUGCGUAGGCGGCCUGCUAAGUCUGGAGUGAAAGGUACCGGCUCAACCGGUACAGGCUCUGGAAACUGGCGGGCUAGAGAGCAGGAGAGGGCGGUGGAACUCCAUGUGUAGCGGUAAAAUGCGUAGAUAUAUGGAAGAACACCAGUGGCGAAGGCGGCUUCCUGGUCUGCAACUGACACUGAGGCGCGAAAGCGUGGGGAGCAAACAGG
This 252-nucleotide ribosomal RNA is filed under the name uncultured bacterium. RNAcentral's name for it is "partial 16S ribosomal RNA". It matches the Rfam family "Bacterial small subunit ribosomal RNA", at positions 524 to 776 of the family's 1533-position model. The record is from RNAcentral.